RNAcentral lists this ribosomal RNA (291 nucleotides) under uncultured bacterium. Its description in RNAcentral is "partial 16S ribosomal RNA". It matches the Rfam family "Bacterial small subunit ribosomal RNA", at positions 775 to 1060 of the family's 1533-position model. The record is from RNAcentral.
GUUGAUUAGAUACCCUGGUAGUCCACGCUGUAAACGAUGAAUACUAGGUGUGGGAGGACUGACCCCUUCCGUGCCGCAGUUAACACAAUAAGUAUUCCACCUGGGGAGUACGGCCGCAAGGCUGAAACUCAAAGGAAUUGACGGGGGCCCGCACAAGCAGUGGAUUAUGUGGUUUAAUUCGACGCAACGCGAAGAACCUUACCAGGACUUGACAUCCAACUAACGAAGUAGAGAUACAUUAGGUGCCCUUCGGGGAAAGUUGAGACAGGUGGUGCACGGUCGUCGACAACU